UACGUAGGGUGCAAGCGUUAAUCGGAAUUACUGGGCGUAAAGUGUGCGCAGGCGGCGCCGCAAGUCGAGUGUGAAAGCCCCGAGCUUAACUUGGGAAUUGCGCUCGAAACUAUGGUGCUGGAGUGUGGCAGAGGAAGGUGGAAUUCCACGUGUAGCGGUGAAAUGCGUAGAUAUGUCAUAGAACACCGAUAGCGAAGGCAGCUCACUAGGCCUGGAUUGACGCUCAGGGACGAAAGCGUGGGGAGCAAACAGG
This 253-nucleotide ribosomal RNA is filed under the name uncultured bacterium. RNAcentral describes it as "partial 16S ribosomal RNA". It matches the Rfam family "Bacterial small subunit ribosomal RNA", at positions 524 to 776 of the family's 1533-position model. The record is from RNAcentral.